UUAGGUUAGAUGUUCAGAAGAAAUUCUCUACUCAGAGGGCAGUGAGGCCCUGGUACAGCUGCUCAGAGAGCUGUGGGUGCCCCAUCCCUGGAGGUGCUCAGGGCCAGGUUGGGUGGGCGCAGGGCAGCCAGAGCUGGUGGGGGACAACCACUGUGACUCAGUUCUUCCUACUACACAACUCCUGAAAAACUCAAAUAACACAAAACCUACAUUUUAAGCCUUCCAAGAUCAGAACCCAGAAAUGAAGGAACUUCAAACUGUUGGUCACUUUAAUCAUUACAACCAGUUCUUGAGCAGCUUACAGUGCAUUUUAGUCUGUCUAGUUGAGCUGGAACACAGCAUUGUGUCUUUUCCUGUCAGAGCCAUAAGUUCGAAUCAUAUCAGAAAACUCAAAGAGCAAAUAAAUAUCUCCUGAAAGAAGAAAAUCUGAGCUUUAAAUAAGGAGGGCUACUCUCUGAGAAGGCAAUGCUUCUGGCCCAAAUCAUACUACAUUAGAAACCUGCGUUGGUGCAGAUUGACUUGAGCCCCUUCAGUGAACACAGACAUACAAAACAGAAUAAAAGUGUCACAGAAAAUAAGUGCACAUUCACCUUUCAGCUGGACUUUCUCCCACGGAAUUAAGCAUAUGAUUAAAACUGGAUUUGGUAGUGGAAGAACUCUGUGCAGUCUGAAGAAAGGCAAGUUCUCAGUGAAUGCAUUCAGAUUCAGAGUAGAAGCCAAUCUAGAUGGAUUUGUCUUCCAAAAGAUGCUAUGACUGUGCAGGAAGCUUAAGGCAACCAGGCACCUGAAGGAGAUUUCCAUCAGCUCCUAGUCAUUCCAUGAAAGGCAACCAAGGCUCUACAGCAGAACCUUCCACUGCCUUGUCUUUCUCAGAUUUAUGCAUUUUUUCUAAUAGGUAUUACCACCAGUCUGCUCUCCAGAGCCCUUCAAUUCCACGUGUUCCUCUAAAAUAAAUGUUAAGAAAGGUGAAGGAAUUAUCCUUGAAUUCUAAUGUUAGCCAGCAUACACCCACCAAAGGGUGUAUAUUAGAGAAGUAUCUGAAAAAGCAUACAUACCACUAACAUCUUACCCUUUGUCAUAGCUCCAGCCAUACAGGAAUAAUAACAGCUAGAGUCCAGCUUAAUCCACUUCAAACUGGGGAACUGAUUUAGUGGUAUUGCAAGUCCAGCUGGAUUGCCAUGGCGCAGCCUUUGGCACAGAUGGAUCAGAGCAUGCGAUCCAUCCAGUGCUGGAUGGCUCAGACUGCAAUCUGGCUUUCCACUUAGGCUUGAUCCUGCUGCCUGCUUCUCAACAGCACAACAGAAGAGAGACUCUGCCUCUUAUGGAGUGUCCUUUACUCCACACUGGCCUUGAAGCCUCGAUAGCCCUUUUCCAUGGUGAGGACUGGAGCUAAUUAUCUGCUCUGAAACAGUUAACCUUAAAGUAAGAUACAAGAAGGCAAUGAUAGCUCCAUGGAUCUGAAUUUCUACCUGGUAGUUGUUGGUCUUUCUCUUCAAAAGCUGUUCUUCUUUAUUUACCUUUUGGAGGAAGAAUUUCCAUCUUCCUUCCGCAGAGAAACAUUUAAUGUUAAGAUGAUUUUCACCUAGUACUCUGUUUUUGCAUUGCUCCAAACAGAUCAAUUUUCCAUUAAGAUAAAGACAGAUGAGCAGACUGCAGCCACUGAACAGAGUGUGCUGGCAGAGCAGAACAGCAGUAUAAUGACAUUAAGACUCAGAUUUUUUAAACAUGCAAAAAAUAAAUCAAAUUACAAAAGAAAAAGUAGUCCAAAUUUGUCAGCAGCACAGAGUCACUUGGAGGUCCUUCAUAAAUGCUGAACAAUUGGCUUCACCUACAGCCCUUAACUGCUCCAGCUGGUCAUUACCUGACCACUAAAGCCGUUUGGAUGAGUCAGUAAUGUUUAAAUAAUCCCCAUCCAGACACUGUCUUACACCUUCCUUAGUGGACUGCAGUGCAGUGCAAAUGCAUGGUACAAUUAAUUAACACUGGGACCAAAACCAGAGUCUCUAGCUUCCAAAACAAAUGCUCAGCCAUGUAGCCAAAAGCACCACUCCAAUGACAUAAGCCAAUUUACUCCCUGUUUUAUUAAACUUCCACAGUGUUUAGAAUCACUAAGUCACAGUGGGUCUGGCACUUCGUGUUGUGAAUGCUGGUGUUUCCUUACCCACCAAAACACAGUUGUAAGCCUGUAUUGCUAAUUCCCCUAUCUGAGGUAUUUUCAUUUUACUGCAAAUCAUAUGUAAUGAUGUGAAAUUUGGCAAUAUGUGUAACAGAGCCUGAGCCCAAU
Gallus gallus (chicken) is the source of this 2284-nucleotide long non-coding RNA. NCBI's taxonomy places the organism in Eukaryota, Metazoa, Chordata, Aves, Galliformes, Phasianidae. The record is from Ensembl.